GACGAACGCUGGCGGCGUGCCUAAUACAUGCAAGUAGAACGCUGAAGGAGGAGCUUGCUUCUCUGGAUGAGUUGCGAACGGGUGAGUAACGCGUAGGUAACCUGCCUGGUAGCGGGGGAUAACUAUUGGAAACGAUAGCUAAUACUGCAUAAGAGUAGCUGUUGCAUGACAUUUACUUAAAAGGUGCAAUUGCUUCACUACCAGAUGGACCUGCGUUGUAUUAGCUAGUUGGUGAGGUAACGGCUCACCAAGGCAACGAUACAUAGCCGACCUGAGAGGGUGAGCGGCCACACUGAGACUGAGACACGGCACAGACGCCUACAGGAAGCAGCAGUAGGGAAUCGGCGGCAAGGGACGGAAGUCUGACCGAGCAACGCCGCGUGAGUGAAGAAGGUUUUCGGAUCGUAAAGCUCUGUUGUAAGAGAAGAACGAGUGUGAGAGUGGAAAGUUCACACUGUGACGGUAUCUGACCAGAAAGGGACGGCUAACUACGUG
This 495-nucleotide ribosomal RNA is filed under the name uncultured bacterium. RNAcentral's name for it is "partial 16S ribosomal RNA". It matches the Rfam family "Bacterial small subunit ribosomal RNA", at positions 28 to 507 of the family's 1533-position model. The record is from RNAcentral.